Molecule: long non-coding RNA, 289 nt
Filed under: Actinidia chinensis (golden kiwifruit)
Lineage: Eukaryota; Viridiplantae; Streptophyta; Magnoliopsida; Ericales; Actinidiaceae
Description: long non-coding RNA (ACHI_LNC002605)
Source: RNAcentral
GGGACGAAAGGUUAAUUUACUGAAAGGCUAGUAGGUUCUCAUUACACGCAUUCUCAGAUUUGCUUCGCCCAGCCACAAAAGGGUAUAUCUAUGAGCAUUGUAACACGGAGAGUUUGAUUUGCUUCGCCCAGCCACAAAAGGGUAUAUCUAUGAGCGUUGUAACACGGAGAGUUUGAACUACCACAAGUUAACAUUAGAUACAACACAAAGACUGUGGAAAACAUAAUUAACCUAUAAAUACUUGCAUAGCACCUUAAUUGGGAGAAACGGAAAACCUACAACUUUGCAC